GCCUCCCUCUUUCUUCGUGCUUAACACAUGCAAGUCGAACGGAAAGGCCCUGCUUUUGUGGGGUGCUCGAGUGGCGAACGGGUGAGUAACACGUGAGUAACCUGCCCUUGACUUUGGGAUAACUUCAGGAAACUGGGGCUAAUACCGGAUAGGAGCUCCUGCUGCAUGGUGGGGGUUGGAAAGUUUCGGCGGUUGGGGAUGGACUCGCGGCUUAUCAGCUUGUUGGUGGGGUAGUGGCUUACCAAGGCUUUGACGGGUAGCCGGCCUGAGAGGGUGACCGGCCACAUUGGGACUGAGAUACGGCCCAGACUCCUACGGGAGGCAGCAGUGGGGAAUAUUGCACAAUGGGCGGAAGCCUGAUGCAGCAACGCCGCGUGCGGGAUGACGGCCUUCGGGUUGUAAACCGCCUUCGCCUGUGACGAAGCGUGAGUGACGGUAAUGGGUAAAGAAGCACCGGCUAACUACGUG
Molecule: ribosomal RNA, 468 nt
Filed under: uncultured bacterium
Lineage: Bacteria
Description: partial 16S ribosomal RNA
Rfam family: Bacterial small subunit ribosomal RNA
Source: RNAcentral